RNAcentral lists this long non-coding RNA (6425 nucleotides) under Homo sapiens (human). Its description in RNAcentral is "non-protein coding LINC00939:10". Lineage: Eukaryota; Metazoa; Chordata; Mammalia; Primates; Hominidae. The record is from RNAcentral.
GUGGAGCCUGGCGACUGCUUUGGGAAGUCCUGCUGGCAGGCACUCUGCCCCUGGGGGUGUGCAAAGAGUUGUCCAGUUACCUUGAUCUUCUCACAGCCUCCUCCCCAGGGCACCAGGAGAGACCAGGAUUGGAGGACGGUAAAGAACACACUUCCCAGAGGAUUCUUGGAGUGUCUGAAACAAACAGAAGUUUGUUUCUCGUCCAUGUAACCAAGGCAAAUGCUCCUGGUUGGCAGGUGGCUUCCUCCAGGCAGUAAAUCUACAGCCCAGGCUCCCUGCAUCUUAUGGCUCCAAUCACUUUGGAUCUCAUCGUCGCCUGCACAUUGCCAUACACAGGGAAGGAGAAGAGAUGGAGAAGGCAAAGACUUUCUGAAAGCCGUGGCUAAAAGCUGGCAUGUGUCACAUCAGCUCACAUUCCAUUGUAGAGACGGGGUUUCACCGUGUUAGCCAGGAUGGUCUUGAUAUCCUGACCUCGUGAUCCGCCCGCCUUGGCUUCCCAAAGUGCUGGGAUUACAGGCGUGAGCCACCGCUCCCGGCCUGGCAGGCAUUCUUGAGGCAAACGGGAAAUGGGGUAAGUUACACAAUCGAUACAGCUCCGUCAUCGUGGUUUAAUUACUUUUCCACGUACCAUGUUUCCUGACAGGUAGAACGAUCAGCCUGGGCCUCCGUUUUUCAUUCUACAAAGAAUGAAGUGCAUGAACUGUCCUCUAUAGAAUUGUGGAAAAAGUUGUUUUUAUUGAGUUGUGGUUAUCUUUGUCUUCAUGGUCUAAUUACGGAAAUAAAUGCUUUUCCGAGUCUCCGGGGAUGGUCUGCCCUAGUCCAGCUCUCUGCAGUGUCUUUCUGGGUUUUUCCUCAGUGAACGGGAGGAACAUUGGCAGCACUUGUGGUCUGCACCAAGAACUGAAUCGAAUUUCCAUGUGUUAUUGAAUGUUCACAAAGACCUUGUACAGCGAGUGUUACUACCUCUGGUCAAUGAUUCAACUCAAGGCUCAGAAAAGUCAAGUGUCUUGUCCAGGGACACUUAGUCAGAAGUGAAUCCAAGGUUUAAGCUCAAGUCUGCCUAACUCUGAAUUUCACAGCCUUUUGCUACAUAUGGCGAAUAAUAUAUCCCUGAGCACUAAAGGCAGACUCCAAGGAUCUUGUCUCUGCAAUCAUCAUUCUGGCCAUAAUUUAUGAAAAGCAACCCAAAGUAUGUGAUGUAAUAAAAAGUACUAUCUAUGAGUUUACCCUUCCAAAAAUUGAACUGAAUUCUGAGCUCUAAAUUUGGAAUCAAAAGAACUUUUCUCUGCACUAAUCAUUUGGAACAUCACUUAAAGAAAACAACGAAAAACUGGUGUCCCCUGAGAGAAAGCAAUACAAAACAUUAUGCAUAAAGAAAUCCUUCCAAAAAAUAAACCAAAUCCAGUCAAAUCUCUAGUUUUGACUCCUAGCUUACCGGAAAUACGUGAUGGGAAAAAAAUGAAAUGACACCACUAUGAUUCAAUCAGCCAAAUCCAGCAUAUGCAAAUUUCUACCAGAUAAAUGGUUUAGUUUCUUCCCCAAACAAAUGGCACAAGGAAACGGAGGUAAGAAUGGGAUGCUGUUAUAGAUUUUAAAAGAUUUAAGAAAGUAUAAACUAAAUACACUAUGUGCAUCCUCUCUGAACGUGCUUCAAACAUAUCAAGGGGUCAAUGAGCAGUUUUGAAACAAUAAGGGAAUUUGAACACUGAAUGGUUGUCAGAAGAUAGUAAGAGAUCAUUAUUAAUUUUACUAGACAUAAUGAUGUUCUGAUUUUGUUUUUUUUUUAAAAAAAAAACAGUGUUAUUUCCUUUAUAGAUACAUCAUAUAGUAUUAACUAAUGAAAUGCUUUGAUAUCUGGAACGUUUAAAAAAUAUUCCCGAUGGAGUAAGUGCAAAGAAACAGGUAAGCAAAAUGCUGAUAAUUGCUGAAACACAGGAUGUGUACCUGGGGCUUCAUUUACUAUCUCUUCAUUUUCUAUUUUGAUAUUUGUUGGACAUUCUCAUAAAAAGGAAAGUUAUGUUUUAUUUUCUCAUAAGCUAGUAAUGAAAUAGCCCUACGUAACUGAUAUUGUAGAGACAAGAAUAGGUGUAAUAGAGCUUAAGGUUUUCAUUUAAAAAACUAUCUGUAGACUUCAAUGGAUCUUAGGUGGCAUCCAUGCAAUAACACUCGUGGAACAUGCAGGACAGGUGUGGAGCUCCAUCUUCACACAGUGACAUUUUUUAUGCUUCUGUUUUCCCUAAGAGUGGAGUGAGAGGAUGAUUAUUUUAUAUCAUGGACUUCUUCCCUGCUAUACUUUUUUUAAUUAUUUUACUUUCACUUCUGGGAUACAUGUGCUGAGCAUGCAGGCUUGUUUACAUAGGUAUACAUCUGCCAUGGUGGUUUGCUGCACCUAUCAACCCAUCAUACAGGUUUUAAGCCCUGCAUGCAUUAGGUAUUCGCCCUAAUGCUCUCCCUCGCCUUUCCCCCCACCCCCUGAUAGCCCCCAGUGAGUCAUAUUCCCCUCCCUGUGUCCAUGUGUUCUCAUUGUUCAACUCCCAUUUAUGAGUGAGAAUAUGUGGUGUUUAGUUUUCUGUUCCUGUGUUAGUUUGCUGAGAAUGAUGUUUUCCAGCUUCAUCCAUGUCCCUGAAAAGGACAUGAGCUCAUUCUUUUUUAUGGCUGCAUAGUAUUCCACGGUGUUAUAUGUGCCACAUUUUCUUAAUCCAGUCUGUCAUUGAUGGACAUUUGGGUUGUUUCCAAGUCUUUGCUAUUGUAAAUAGUGCUGCAAUAAACAUAUGUGUGCAUGUGUCUUUGUAGUAGAAUGAUUUAUAAUCCUUUGGGUAUAUGCCCAGUAAUGGGACUGAUGGGUCAAAUGGUAUUUCUGGUUCUAGAUCCUUGAGGAAUUGCCACACUGUCUUCCACAAUGGUUGAACUAAUUUAUACUCCCACCAACAGGGUAAAAGCAUUCCUAUUUCUCCACAUCCUCUCCAGCAUCUGUUGUUUCCAAAUGUUUUAAUGAUUGCCAUUCCACCUGGCGUGAGAUGGUAUCUCAUUGUGGUUUUGAUUUUCAUUUCUCUAAUGACCAGUGAUGAUAAGCUUUUUUUCAUAUGUUUGUUGGCCACAUAAAUGUCUUCUUUUGACUUUUAUGUGGAAACAAAUUUAACUGCACAGAGAGGUGAAAAUUAAUUAAUAACUUUUAAAGUAAUUCCCUAAGUUUCUAAGGAUCUAUAUGUUUCCAUCUGACUUUAUUUUAUUUAAGCUCUUGAUUGAUGCUGCAUUUGGAGCAGGUUCAUGAACAUGAAUAGAGUUAAUCUGGGACAGAUUUCCCUCAUUUGAUUUUUUCACUGUUUCCAUCACAGAACUUAUUUCAUGCUCACCAUGUUUGCAGGCAUUGAGCUUGGUACUGGAGCCACAGAGCUGGAUCAGACAGACUUGUGCAAAUAUUUCAGGUUUUUUUUGUGGGGGGGUCAUAUUUAUAGAUAAAUAACAGUAAAGAGUGACGGGUUCUUAUGAAAAUGCAUACACAGUGAAGUAGAGGGUGAAAAGGAGGGAUGUGUUCUAUGAGGAGGAAGAGUGAUAAGAAAGUGUAAGGGGAUGUGUCUGUGUCUAGACAUAUGUGUGUUCACGUGUGUGCGUGCUUGUGUGUACUGCAUGUGUAUAUGUGUGGCCAUGCACCUGUGUGCAUGUUCAUGUGUGUGUGUGUAUGUGUCUGUGUUGAGGACUAAAUUAAUUGGGCUUAUGGAAGCAGGGAGCCACUGAUAGGUUUAAUUAGAGACUGACAUGAUAUGAUAGUUUAGGUGGAUUUCUCUGGGGGCUGUGUUGAGGGACAGUGGGGAGGAGAGCUAGAAGGAAGAAAAGGACACAUGCAUAACAGAAGCAAUAUCUGUCUAUGGGAUGGUGGAAAGAAUCAGAAAAGACUUAAUAAAACAUGUGACACUUUAACUGAAUCUUGAAAUAGACAAGUGUUGGAGGAGGGAGUUGGACCAGAUACUUCAUGCAAAGGGAAGAAAAGUGCACAAACAAAAUAUGAGAAACAAGGCAGACAGGCAUUUUUUUAAAAUUUUCGCACCCACUGAUAGACCAGUGAUGCAUUCACAUCGUCUGCAUUCAUGAUCAACAAAAGUGCUUUCCUAGAACAUGAACCUCAACCCAAGUGUCGCCUCAAGUAGUGUAUGCAUGAACUCAAGCAUUAAAUUAGAAUUGAUUUUUUAAAAAACUCACACAAACAGAUGUAUUAUUUAAAAAUCUUUAAAGCAGGUUUAAACAGUUUUCAGGAUUAAAAGCAGCCACUAUUAGAAAGAACAAAAAUACAUUUGACAUAAAUAUAAGGAGCCUCAAUAGAACCUCCUGUACCCAGUCAUUGUCAAUGCCACAUCCAUUCAUUCACCAGCCCUUAUAUCAAUGCUUGCUGGGCUCACUUACCACGAUCAGCACGUGCAUGUCCUUAUCUGAAAGCUUGCCACUCAAAUGUGCUCAGUCUUACCUGUGUGGCUGGGAGUGUUGGGGAUUUAAUGUCAAGGGAAAGAAUCUUCCAUCAAUGAAUGAUGAAAGUUAGUUUUCACAACUUCCGGUCCCCUUGGCCCUCAUCAAAGGGCUCCAGGUGAGGUUUGGGCUCCUUGCUAUCCUCCGAGUUUCCACGGUAGUUUUAAGCACCAUUGCCCGUGGUAAUGGCUGACAUUGAUACUGCACUUUUUUUUUAUUUAAGAUGGAGUUCCCCUCUGCCACCCAGACUGGAGUACAGUGGCGCGAUCCUGGCCAUCGCAACCUCCGCCUCCCAGGUUCAAGCGAUUCUCCUGCCUCAGUCUCUCAAGUAGCUGGGAUAUGGGCACCUGUCACCAUGCCCAGCUAAUUUUUUUAAAAUUUAUUUUUAGUAGAGAUGGGGUUUCACCAUGUUGGCCAGGCUGGUCUCGAACUCCUGACCUCAGGUGAUCCACCCACACUUUUUAUUGUUUGCCUACACUUUCUAGACUUGCUUCAUCAGCCUACUCCGUUUCUGGUUGAUAUGGUUUGGUUGUGUCCCCACUCAAAUCUUAUCUAGAAGUGUAAUCCCCAAGUCUCAAGGGAGGGACCUGGUGUGAGGUGAUUGGAUUGGGGGGUGGUUCCCGCCAUGCUGUUCUCAUGAUAGUGAGUGAGUUCUCAUGAGAUCUGAUGGUUUUAUAAGGCAGUUUUCCCUAUUCUUGCUCACUCUUCUCUCUCUUUCUGCCAUGUGAAGAAGGUCCUUGCUUCCCCUUCACCUUCUACCAUGAUUGUAAGUUUCCUGAGGCCUCCCCUCAGCCAUGCACAACUGUGAGUCAAUUAAACCUCUUUCCUUUAUAAAUUACUCAGUCUCAGGUCGUAUCUUUAUAGCAGUAUGAGAAUGGACUAAUACACUGGUCUAUCCUUCAUCCAAAUUAACUACCUGCACUGCAGUCCUUGUCUCAGGCUCUGCUUUGAGGGACCCCAACUGUGACAGCCGCAUUAGAAUGCAUCACAUACUGCAGUGAAAUUCUAGAGUGGGUGUUGUCAGGUGGUGAUGAUUGUUAGAUAUGUCAGUCUGUUUUCAGGCUGCUGAUAAAGACAUACCUGAGACUGGGUAAUUUAUAAAGGAAAAGGAGGUUUAAUGGACUCACAGUUCCACAUGGCUAGGGAGGCCUCACAAUCAUGGCAGAAGGUGAAAGGCACGGCUUACAGGGUGGCAGCAAGAGAGGAAAUGAGAACCAAGUGAAAAGGUUUCUGCUUAUAAAACCAUCAGCUCUUGUGAGACUUAUUCAUUACAAUGAGAACAAUAUGGGGGAAACUGCCCCCAUGAUUCAAUUAUCUCCCACCAGAUCCCUCCUACAACACAUGAGAAUUGUGGGUGCUACAAUUCAAGAUGAGAUUUGAGUGGGGACAAAGUCAAACCAUAUCAUUAGAUAGGACACUGGAGAAAGGCAAGAAAGAAAAGACAUCUGAAGAAUGAAGGGAGCCAAAGAAAUGCCAACAUUUUGCUUUUUGAAGAAAAGCUAAAUUAAAGUCAAAAUGGAUUUAUCAAUUUCCUUGGGUUCGUGAAUGUACAGAACUUUAUUAAGACUGUCAUGCUGUCAUCAUGGCUGGAUCUGAUACGGCCACCGUGGACCUUGAGGUGACCUCGGGAAUGGAGACAGUGCAUGGGAGAGAAUCACAUUGGAAGGGGCCUGGGUUUCUGAAGACCCUGUAAGACAGAUCUCCUUGCAGCCCUGACUGCCCACAUUAGGGCUUUUAUGUUAGGGUGAAGUUACCUUGCAUUGUCAUAUAAGCAAUUGCUAUUUGUGGUGUCUUGCAAAUAAACCUAUUCUGAUCUAGUAUGUUUCCUAAAAAACAAAAGUUUGAACCCAGCUCUUUACGUGUUACAUGUUCUGAAUACAAAAAUAAGACCCAGUUUCUGCCCCCUAGCAGGACCCAAAACCCCUCAGUGAAGGCAUACACCAUAGGAAUAAUCUCACAAGUACUUU